This 450-nucleotide ribosomal RNA is filed under the name uncultured bacterium. Its description in RNAcentral is "bacterial SSU rRNA". It matches the Rfam family "Bacterial small subunit ribosomal RNA", at positions 354 to 796 of the family's 1533-position model. The record is from RNAcentral.
GUCGGGAAUUUUGCGCAAUGGCCGCAAGGCUGACGCAGCAACGCCGCGUGAGUGAAGAAGGCCUUCGGGUUGUAAAGCUCUGUUGCCCGUGACGAACGGCCGGACCAGGAAAUGGGUGCGGCGUGACGGUAGCGGGAGAGGAAGCCCCGGCUAACUACGUGCCAGCAGCCGCGGUAAUACGUAGGGGGCGAGCGUUGUCCGGAUUUAUUGGGCGUAAAGGGCGUGUAGGCGGCCGGGUAAGUCCGAGGUGAAAGACCGCAGCUCAACUGCGGGCAGGCCUCGGAAACUGCUUGGCUGGAGUGCUCUAGAGGGUAGUGGAAUUGCCGGUGUAGCAGUGAAAUGCGUAGAGAUCGGCAGGAACACCAGUGGCGAAGGCGACUGCCUGGGGAGUAACUGACGCUGAGGCGCGAAAGCUGGGGGAGCAAACGGGAUUAGAAACCCCAGUAGUCC